CCAUCGCCGUGAAACCCUCCGACAAACACAACCACUACUCACCGGUGAACCCUUCUUCUUCUUCUUCUACGCGUCGUCGCGUCUCCCCUCAACCUCUCACUCUGUUUCCUCCACGUGAACCACAUCGGCGUCACCCACCACCUCCUCCUUCUGCAAACUCGACCACCAUCCACCGACAUCUCCUCCGUCGCGCACUGCCGUUCUUAUUCAACCCACACGACAACAAACCAUACAAAUCCGCCGUUCAAACCCGUCGAAAUUUACACUAAAAAAAACAACAACAACAUCCAUCGUAGAAGCUACCACAACCAACACCAUAGUCGGCCUUGUUCCCACUCAGCCGCCAAAUAUUCGUCGGCAUCCACCAGAGAUGAGUUGGUGAAAGUCCUUGUUGUUCUUACUACUACGUUAUCUGCAGCAAAAGAGGUUGAUUUUGUGAUAUUCCUUUUACUUUUUCAUUUCUCACUAAUUAUCUGUCUCACUCCCUGCAACCUGUUUAUUUUAGUGAAUUUGUUUUAAAUUUUAAAAAUGGGGGACAACAACACCAGUAUGAACAAGCUUAUUGCCUACCAGUUUACUGUUCGUUAUAUCUCAUUUUUGUUUAUUUAUUUAUUUUUGGACAUAUUAUUGAUAUAGUUUAAUUAGAAACAUGGAAUGUAUUUAUGGAUUUGGGCUAAUUAACUGCAGGCCAUUUAAUCUCUACAUUUUUUGGUUUUAAAGAGUUUUGUUCUAAAAUUAUUUUGUGGUUACAUCGCCGUUUACAUUGCGAUUAAUUAAACUUUGGGAUUUUAAUGUAAUGCUAUAUUUGAUUGUUG
Molecule: long non-coding RNA, 815 nt
Filed under: Lathyrus oleraceus (garden pea)
Lineage: Eukaryota; Viridiplantae; Streptophyta; Magnoliopsida; Fabales; Fabaceae
Description: Pisum sativum (pea) long non-coding RNA (PSAT_LNC026339)
Source: RNAcentral